AAAGAUUUAUCCCGUAGAAUGGACUGCGCCCAUCCAGUUUGUGUGAAGUAAUGGCCCACCAGACUAUUACAGGUACGGGUUUCUGAGAAGGAGUAGCCCGGAGAUUGGUACUGAGACACGGACCCAGCCCCUAUGGGGCGCAGCAGGCGAGAAACUUUGCAAUGUGCGAAAGCACGACAAGGUUAAUCCGAGUGGUUUCUGUUAAAGAAACCUUUUGUCAGUCCUAGAAACACUGAUGAAUAAGGGGUGGGCAAGUUCUGGUGUCAGCCGCCGCGGUAAAACCAGCACCUCAAGUGGUCAGGAUGAUUAUUGGGCCUAAAGCAUCCGUAGCCGGCUCUGUAAGUUUUCGGUUAAAUCUGUACGCUCAACGUACAGGCUGCCGGGAAUACUGCAGAGCUAGGGAGUGGGAGAGGUAGACGGUACUCGGUAGGAAGGGGUAAAAUCCUUUGAUCUAUUGAUGACCACCUGUGGCGAAGGCGGUCUACCAGAACACGUCCGACGGUGAGGGAUGAAAGCUGGGGGAGCAAACCGGAUUAGAUAUCCCGGGUAGUCCUCAGCUGUAAACUAUGCAAACUCAGUGAUGCAUUGGCUUGUGGCCAAUGCAGUGCUGCAGGGAAGCCGUUAAGUUUGCCGCCUGGGAAGUACGUACGCAAGUAUGAAACUCAAAUGAAUUGACGG
This 678-nucleotide ribosomal RNA is filed under the name uncultured crenarchaeote. Its description in RNAcentral is "bacterial SSU rRNA". It matches the Rfam family "Archaeal small subunit ribosomal RNA", at positions 187 to 871 of the family's 1478-position model. The record is from RNAcentral. Lineage: Archaea; Thermoproteati; Thermoproteota.